CCCGCUGAACUUAAGCAUAUCAAUAAGCGCAGGAAAAGAAACCAACAGGGAUUGCCUCAGUAACGGCGAGUGAAGCGGCAACAGCUCAAAUUUGAAAUCUGGCCUCUCUGUGUCGAGUUGUGAUUUGUAGAGAGGUAUCUUUGGUGAUCCCUCUCGCAUAUGUUCCCUGGAACCAGACGGCCUAAAAGGGGAAAAUCCCCGACAUGGAGCGAUGACAUAUUACUAUGUAAAGUGCCUCCAAAAAGCCAAGUGGUUGGGAAAUGCACCUCUAAUGGGGGGGAAAAUUCCACCUAAGGCUAAUAAUGGCCAAAAGACCAAUACCCAACAAGUGCGGGAACGAAAAAAUGAAAACAACUUUAAAAAAAAAGUGAACAAGAACUUAAAAUUGUGGAAAGGAAACGCUUGCAAACCGAACUUGGCAUUCAAUGACCACUAUUCUUUCGGCUAGAUGCCCUCGCCGUGUACUGGCCCACCUUCGAUCUAAACGGCGAGAUAAUGACUUGUGAAUGUAUCUUCGCUUCGGUAGACUUAUAGCUCCUGUUGACAUGCUCACUCUAGAUACCGAACUACGCACUUCUGCUAGGAUGUUGGCGUAAUGAUUGUCAGCCACCCGUCUUGAAACACGG
Molecule: ribosomal RNA, 626 nt
Filed under: uncultured fungus
Lineage: Eukaryota; Fungi
Description: eukaryotic LSU rRNA
Rfam family: Eukaryotic large subunit ribosomal RNA
Source: RNAcentral